UGGGGAAUUUUGGACAAUGGGCGAAAGCCUGAUCCAGCAAUGCCGCGUGUGUGAAGAAGGCCUUCGGGUUGUAAAGCACUUUUGUCCGGAAAGAAAUCCUUGGCUCUAAUACAGUCGGGGGAUGACGGUACCGGAAGAAUAAGCACCGGCUAACUACGUGCCAGCAGCCGCGGUAAUACGUAGGGUGCAAGCGUUAAUCGGAAUUACUGGGCGUAAAGCGUGCGCAGGCGGUUUGCUAAGACCGAUGUGAAAUCCCCGGGCUCAACCUGGGAACUGCAUUGGUGACUGGCAGGCUAGAGUAUGGCAGAGGGGGGUAGAAUUCCACGUGUAGCAGUGAAAUGCGUAGAGAUGUGGAGGAAUACCGAUGGCGAAGGCAGCCCCCUGGGCCAAUACUGACGCUCAUGCACGAAAGCGUGGGGAGCAAAACAGGAUUAGAUACCCCUGGUAGUCCACGCCCUAAAACGAUGUCAACUAGUUGUUGGGGAUUCAUUUCCUUAGUAACGUAGCUAACGCGUGAAGUUGACCGCCUGGGGAGUACGGUCGCAAGAUUAAAA
RNAcentral lists this ribosomal RNA (554 nucleotides) under uncultured bacterium. RNAcentral describes it as "partial 16S ribosomal RNA". It matches the Rfam family "Bacterial small subunit ribosomal RNA", at positions 355 to 899 of the family's 1533-position model. The record is from RNAcentral.